ACCGCGUACUUUUUGUAGAACGGGCCAACGAGUUACGUUAAGUAGCAAGGUUAAGCACUUAAGGUGCGGAGCCGUAGCGAAAGCGAGUUUUAACUGAGCGUUUAGUUACUUGACGUAGACCCGAAACCGGGCGACCUACCCAUGAGCAGGAUGAAGCGAAAGUAAAAUUUCGUGGAGGUCCGAACCCACGAGCGUUGAAAAGCUC
RNAcentral lists this ribosomal RNA (205 nucleotides) under Clostridioides difficile. RNAcentral's name for it is "partial 23S ribosomal RNA". It matches the Rfam family "Bacterial large subunit ribosomal RNA", at positions 596 to 799 of the family's 2925-position model. Lineage: Bacteria; Bacillati; Bacillota; Clostridia; Peptostreptococcales; Peptostreptococcaceae. The record is from RNAcentral.